GGAUAAUUGCAUGGAUCAUGAUAUUGACGCCGUGUACCUUAAAAGCUAUGCAAAGAUCCGAUGGUUGACGUCACCAAAGAAGAUGAAUCGUUGUUUCGUGCCAAAGAUACAACCCAAAACCUACAAAUCCAUGACGAAUCGUUGACUUUCGCUGACUGGGAUUCGGUCAAACUUCUGCCAGGUUGCAAGGAAGACGACAAGAAGAAACCACCCCAUUUCCAC
Molecule: long non-coding RNA, 222 nt
Filed under: Elaeis guineensis (African oil palm)
Lineage: Eukaryota; Viridiplantae; Streptophyta; Magnoliopsida; Arecales; Arecaceae
Description: long non-coding RNA (EGUI_LNC072323)
Source: RNAcentral